AAUAAAUCAAUAACAAAGAACACUGUAAAAGAGAGAAAUGAGAGUAAAU
Molecule: non-coding RNA, 49 nt
Filed under: Trypanosoma brucei brucei
Lineage: Eukaryota; Euglenozoa; Kinetoplastea; Trypanosomatida; Trypanosomatidae
Source: RNAcentral